Molecule: ribosomal RNA, 508 nt
Filed under: uncultured bacterium
Lineage: Bacteria
Description: partial 16S ribosomal RNA
Rfam family: Bacterial small subunit ribosomal RNA
Source: RNAcentral
AUUGAACGCUGGCGGCAUGCCUUACACAUGCAAGUCGAACGGCAGCGGGGGAGAAGCUUGCUUUUCCUGCCGGCGAGUGGCGAACGGGUGAGUAGUACAUCGGAACGUGCCCUGUAGUGGGGGAUAACUAGUCGAAAGAUUAGCUAAUACCGCAUACAACCUGAGGGUGAAAGUGGGGGACCGCAAGGCCUCAUGCUAUAGGAGCGGCCGAUGUCUGAUUAGCUAGUUGGUGGGGUAAAGUCCUACCAAGGCGCCGAUAAGUAGCUUGUCUGGGAGGACGAUGAGCCACACUGGGACUGAGACACUGCCCAGCAGCCUACGGGAGGCGGCAGUGGGGAAUUGUGGACAAUGGGCGAAAGCCUGAUCCAGCAAUGACGCGUGUGUGAAGAGGGCCUGCGGGUUGUAAAGCACUUUUGUCCGGAAAGAAAUGGCUCUGGUUAAUACCUGGGGUCGAUGGCGGUACCGGAAGAAUAAGGACCGGCUAACUACGUGCCAGCCGCCGCAGUAA